RNAcentral lists this ribosomal RNA (440 nucleotides) under uncultured bacterium. RNAcentral's name for it is "partial 16S ribosomal RNA". It matches the Rfam family "Bacterial small subunit ribosomal RNA", at positions 339 to 795 of the family's 1533-position model. The record is from RNAcentral.
CUACGGGGCGCUCCAGUGAGGAAUAUUGCACAAUGGGGGGAACCCUGAUGCAGCAACGCCGCGUGGAGGAUGACGCAUUUCGGUGUGUAAACUCCUUUUAUAUGUCAAGAAAAUGACGGUAGCAUAUGAAUAAGCACCGGCUAACUCCGUGCCAGCAGCCGCGGUAAUCCGGAGGGUGCAGAGCGUUACUCGGAAUCACUGGGCGUAGAGGACGCGUAGGCGGGUUGGAAAGUCAGGUGUGAAAUCCUACAGCUUAACUGUAGAACUGCACUUGAAACUUCUAAUCUAGAGUAUGGGAGGGGGAGAUGGAAUUAGUGGUGUAGGGGUAAAAUCCGUAGAUAUCACUAGGAAUACCUAAAGCGAAGGCGAUCUCCUGGAACAUUACUGACGCUAAGGCGUGAAAGCGUGGGGAGCAAACAGGAUUAGAUACCCCGGUAGUC